GUAGGGGGGCAAGCGUUGUCCGGAUUUACUGGGCGUAAAGAGCGUGUAGGCGGCUAGACAGGUCUGUUGUGAAAACUGGAGGCUUAACCUCCAGACGUCGACAGAAACCGUCUGGCUAGAGUCCGGAAGAGGAGAGUGGAAUUCCUGGUGUAGCGGUGAAAUGCGCAGAUAUCAGGAAGAACACCAAUGGCGAAGGCAGCUCUCUGGGACGGUACUGACGCUGAGACGCGAAAGCGUGGGGAGCGAACAGGAUUAGAUACCCUGGUAGUCCACGCCGUAAACGAUGGGUGCUAGGUGUGGGAGGUAUCGACUCCUUCCGUGCCGCAGCUAACGCAUUAAGCACCCCGCCUGGGGAGUACGGCCGCAAGGCUA
Molecule: ribosomal RNA, 372 nt
Filed under: uncultured bacterium
Lineage: Bacteria
Description: bacterial SSU rRNA
Rfam family: Bacterial small subunit ribosomal RNA
Source: RNAcentral